AAAAUACGGGAGGCAGCAGUGGGGAAUCUUCCGCAAUGGGCGAAAGCCUGACGGAGCAACGCCGCGUGAGUGAUGACGGCCUUCGGGUUGUAAAACUCUGUGAUCCGGGACGAAAAGGCAGAGUGCGAAGAACAAACAGCAUUGACGGUACCGGAAAAGCAAGCCACGGCUAACUACGUGCCAGCAGCCGCGGUAAUUUUU
RNAcentral lists this ribosomal RNA (201 nucleotides) under uncultured bacterium. RNAcentral's name for it is "partial 16S ribosomal RNA". It matches the Rfam family "Bacterial small subunit ribosomal RNA", at positions 333 to 528 of the family's 1533-position model. The record is from RNAcentral.